RNAcentral lists this long non-coding RNA (591 nucleotides) under Mytilus galloprovincialis (Mediterranean mussel). The record is from RNAcentral. Lineage: Eukaryota; Metazoa; Mollusca; Bivalvia; Mytilida; Mytilidae.
CCAAGUUUUAAGGCUAGUCAAACCUCUUGCUUAUACGGCAAUUUAAACAAAUAUCGCUGACAAAACAACGUGGCAGAUAUGCAGUACAAAUAAACACAAAAACACUAAACACAGAGAAACGCGCACAUAAGUUAAUAAUAUAAUAGUACAAUACAUCCUGUAAAGCACAGAAUAACAACGGGCACCUUCCAUUCACGACAAGCACAGGACACCACAAACAGUGAUGUACAUAAAUACAGGUCUAACACUUAUGAACAUAAGUCAUUACCACGAUAUGAAGUAAUCAAUAACAUUGAGAAUGGAAAUGGGGAAUGUGUCAAAGAAAAAACAAUCAGAUCUAAAGGCAGACAACAGCCGAAGGCCACCAAUGGGUCGUCAAUGCAGCGAGAAACUCCAGCAACCCAGGGCGUCCUUCAGCUGCUCCUGUCAAAUAUGUAUACUUGUUCAGUGAUAAUGGACGUCAUACUAAACUCCGAAUUAAACACAAGACACUAAAAUUAAAAAUUAAACAAGACUAACAAAGGACAUCCAGAUAUAACGCAGCAUACCACUCUUUCUUGGGGGUAUUAUUUAUAACUGUCCGACAGUGAA